AGUGAACGCUGGCGGUAGGCCUAACACAUGCAAGUCGAACGGCAGCACAGUAAGAGCUUGCUCUUACGGGUGGCGAGUGGCGGACGGGUGAGGAGUACAUCGGAAUCUACUUUUUCGUGGGGGAUAACGUAGGGAAACUUACGCUAAUACCGCAUACGACCUACGGGUGAAAGCAGGGGAUCUUCGGACCUUGCGCGAUUGAAUGAGCCGAUGUCGGAUUAGCUAGUUGGCGGGGUAAAGGCCCACCAAGGCGACGAUCCGUAGCUGGUCUGAGAGGAUGAUAGGCCACACUGGAACUGAGACACGGUCCAGACUCCUACGGGAGGCAGCAGUGGGGAAUAUUGGACAAUGGGCGCAAGCCUGAUCCAGCCAUACCGCGUGGGUGAAGAAGGCCUUCGGGUUGUAAAGCCCUUUUGUUGGGAAAGAAAAGCAGCAGGUUAAUACCCCGCUGUUCUGACGGUACCCAAAGAAUAAGCACCGGCUAACUUCGUG
RNAcentral lists this ribosomal RNA (492 nucleotides) under uncultured bacterium. RNAcentral describes it as "partial 16S ribosomal RNA". It matches the Rfam family "Bacterial small subunit ribosomal RNA", at positions 29 to 507 of the family's 1533-position model. The record is from RNAcentral.